RNAcentral lists this ribosomal RNA (253 nucleotides) under uncultured bacterium. RNAcentral describes it as "partial 16S ribosomal RNA". It matches the Rfam family "Bacterial small subunit ribosomal RNA", at positions 524 to 776 of the family's 1533-position model. The record is from RNAcentral.
GACGAAGGGGGCUAGCGUUGUUCGGAAUCACUGGGCGUAAAGCGCACGUAGGCGGAUAUGUCAGUCAGGGGUGAAAUCCCGGGGCUCAACCUCGGAACUGCCUUUGAAACUGUACGGCUUGAGGCCGGGAGGGGGUAGCGGAAUUCCCAGUGUAGCGGUGAAAUGCGUAGAUACUGGGAGGAACACCAGUGGCGAAGGCGGCUACCUGGACCGGUUCUGACGCUGAGGCGCGAAAGCGUGGGUAGCAAACAGG